Molecule: ribosomal RNA, 1172 nt
Filed under: Bacillus licheniformis
Lineage: Bacteria; Bacillati; Bacillota; Bacilli; Caryophanales; Bacillaceae
Description: bacterial SSU rRNA
Rfam family: Bacterial small subunit ribosomal RNA
Source: RNAcentral
AAUGCAAGUCGAGCGGACCGACGGGAGCUUGCUCCCUUAGGUCAGCGGCGGACGGGUGAGUAACACGUGGGUAACCUGCCUGUAAGACUGGGAUAACUCCGGGAAACCGGGGCUAAUACCGGAUGCUUGAUUGAACCGCAUGGUUCAAUCAUAAAAGGUGGCUUUUAGCUACCACUUGCAGAUGGACCCGCGGCGCAUUAGCUAGUUGGUGAGGUAACGGCUCACCAAGGCGACGAUGCGUAGCCGACCUGAGAGGGUGAUCGGCCACACUGGGACUGAGACACGGCCCAGACUCCUACGGGAGGCAGCAGUAGGGAAUCUUCCGCAAUGGACGAAAGUCUGACGGAGCAACGCCGCGUGAGUGAUGAAGGUUUUCGGAUCGUAAAACUCUGUUGUUAGGGAAGAACAAGUACCGUUCGAAUAGGGCGGCACCUUGACGGUACCUAACCAGAAAGCCACGGCUAACUACGUGCCAGCAGCCGCGGUAAUACGUAGGUGGCAAGCGUUGUCCGGAAUUAUUGGGCGUAAAGCGCGCGCAGGCGGUUUCUUAAGUCUGAUGUGAAAGCCCCCGGCUCAACCGGGGAGGGUCAUUGGAAACUGGGGAACUUGAGUGCAGAAGAGGAGAGUGGAAUUCCACGUGUAGCGGUGAAAUGCGUAGAGAUGUGGAGGAACACCAGUGGCGAAGGCGACUCUCUGGUCUGUAACUGACGCUGAGGCGCGAAAGCGUGGGGAGCGAACAGGAUUAGAUACCCUGGUAGUCCACGCCGUAAACGAUGAGUGCUAAGUGUUAGAGGGUUUCCGCCCUUUAGUGCUGCAGCAAACGCAUUAAGCACUCCGCCUGGGGAGUACGGUCGCAAGACUGAAACUCAAAGGAAUUGACGGGGGCCCGCACAAGCGGUGGAGCAUGUGGUUUAAUUCGAAGCAACGCGAAGAACCUUACCAGGUCUUGACAUCCUCUGACAACCCUAGAGAUAGGGCUUCCCCUUCGGGGGCAGAGUGACAGGGGUGCAUGGUUGUCGUCAGCUCGUGUCGUGAGAUGUUGGUUAAGUCCCGCAACGAGCGCAACCCUUGAUCUUAGUUGCCAGCAUUCAGUUGGGCACUCUAAGGUGACUGCCGGUGACAAACCGGAAGAAGGGGGAUGACGUCAAAUCAUCAUGCCCCUUAUGACCUGG